GCCUUGCUGGCUCAGUUGGUAGAGCAUGUGAUUCUCAACCUCAGGGUCAUGAGUUCAAGUCCCACAUUGGGCA
Molecule: transfer RNA, 73 nt
Filed under: Canis lupus familiaris (dog)
Lineage: Eukaryota; Metazoa; Chordata; Mammalia; Carnivora; Canidae
Also listed under: 1 other name
Rfam family: tRNA
About the family: Transfer RNA (tRNA) molecules are approximately 80 nucleotides in length. Their secondary structure includes four short double-helical elements and three loops (D, anti-codon, and T loops).
Source: Rfam by way of RNAcentral